GUUUGGGACCCUAUGAAUAGACCGUGGGCGGGUCCUGGCUUGACAAAGAAGGGACUAAGCUUCGCGGGGCCCGGAACCGUCAGGGGCGGGGCCAGAGAAAGGUGAUACCCUUCCCAGCGAAAAGGCGGGAGAGGGGCGGGACCAGAAUGGGGCAGGAGUUGGGGCAGCGGCUACGCCGCGAAUUGACCGGGCCAAAAAGAAAAGGCCCAGAAAGGACGCAGCCACCCAGGGGCGGAGCGUGGGGAGGGCGCGCUCCCUCUGCCGCUGGGAGCCGGGUGGUAGCUGAGCACCGGGAAGCGACCUCCCUGACGGAAGCGGGCGCUGCGCGCCAGGGCAUCAUCGUCCACCAAGUAUGGCACGAUCACCGCACGGGGGUAUCUGGGGCACAAGCUGAAGUCCUCGUUCACCUCGCUCAGCCGCCACGCGUUGGUCUCGAUGGAGCGGGCGAUGCCCAGCGUCGCUUCCGCGCCCUCUAUUUCCAGCUGCAGCACUCGCAGGUCUUUACAGCACAGGGUGAUGGUGCCCGAGUCACUCGCAACCCUGGGGAGGGACGUUCCUUUCCCAGGAGAGGGGCAACGAGUUUCCCGGAUUGGGCUUACGCAGGAGGGCGCCAGCUCUGACUGCGCUGGCCGUGCCCCCUACUCCGCCAAGCCGCGCGCUCCCCAACCCCGGGGACCCUCCCCCACCCCGCCACGUCUCACUGCUUCUCGAAGGAGUCGACGCUACGCAACAGCAGCAGCCACAGGUCCGGAGAGGACGCGGGCCCUGGCGACAGGAGCAGGUGGUGGACGGUGACUCACACCGUGCCGCGAAGCGGGGGCGCCUCCGGGCCCCGUAGAAACUCUGCUUGGGCUCAGCCCGUAUGGAUCAGCUCCGAGAACUCCAUUCUGCCAGUGAGAGACCCGGGGCCCAGCAGAAGGCCAGACUCUGAGAGCGUCAGGAGGGGCAGGCUGGAGCUCCGAAAGGGAUAGGAACUGCCUGGGCAGCUGGCGACGCCGUCUGGACAGCUGUUAAGGAGGCCCCUCAGAGGAAAGGAUCACAGUUUCACAGGAAUUUCCCCUCAUAUUGCCAAUAUUUCUUAGCGAGGUCCCUGGCCAGAGACUGUUAUAAGCAAAUCUCCAUGUCAUCGUCUGUGAAAUGGGGAGAAUAAUCUUGCCUAAAGUCCUUAACCCUGUGCCUGGGUUGCAGGAGACACUCAAUAUUUUUGUAUUUUUGUUUUUUCAAGCCCUGAGGUGCUAGCACUACUGCUAACUUUAAAAAGAAAGAAAGACUGGGCGCAGUGGCUCAGGCCUGUAAUCCCAACACUUUGGGAGACCGAGGCGGGGCGGAUCACCUGAGGUCAGGAGUUCGAGACCACCCUGGCUAACAUGGUGAAACCCUGUUUCUACUAAAAAUACAAAAAAUUGGCCAGGCGUGGUGGCUCACACCUGUAAUCCCAGCACUUUGGGAGGCCGAGGCGGGCCGAUCACGAGGUCAGGAGAUCGAGACCAUCGUGGCCAACAUAAUGAAACCCCGUCUCCACUAAAAAUACAAAACUAACUAGGCAUGGUGGCGUGCACCUGUAAUCCCAGCUACUCGGGAGGCUGAGGCAGGAGAAUCGCUUGAACCCAGGAGACCAAGGUUGCAGUGAGAUGAGAUAGCGCCAUUGCACUCCAGCCUGGGCAACAAGAGCAAACUCCGUCAAAAAAGAGAAAAGAAAGAAGAAAGGAAGGAAGGAGGGAGGGAGGGAAGGAAGGAAGGAAGGAAAGAAAGAAGGAAGGAAGGAAGGAAGGAAAGGAAGAAAGAUAACUAUCUCUUCCACCAUACCCUGGUGGAAGGGCUGGAAAGUGGGUGUGAAACUGGGAACUGCCUACUUCCUCCCAUACAUAAGAAACUUGGGUUGGGGAAAUCCUUUGGUCCACCUUAAAUGCUGCAGCUGUGUAGCUGGCGUCCCUCCUCGACCUCGCAGCUGGAAGUCCCUGCCUGAGGGCGCCCUCUGUGCAGCCCACUUCUGGCUGAGUCCAGACCUCAAGAACCCCAUCAGCUAUCCACCAUCGUUUCAGCAAGUGUGUAUUACCUGUACAGUGAGUUAGCUGGGCCCUGUGUUUGGUGCUGGGGCCCAGGGAUGACUGGGGAAGAUUCUGUUCACAGGGUUUUCAGUCUGGCAAGAGACACAAUUAAGCUGGUAAAAUUGCAGGACGAGAGCUGAGCUGAUUUACCACAGGACCCAUCUAUUCAUCCAUCCGUCUUCUUUUUCUUUUGUAAAUAUUUUUGUGGAGAUGGGGGUCUCCCUGUUUUGCCCAGGCUGGUCUUCAACUCCAAGCCUCAAGCAAUGCUC
Molecule: long non-coding RNA, 2317 nt
Filed under: Homo sapiens (human)
Lineage: Eukaryota; Metazoa; Chordata; Mammalia; Primates; Hominidae
Description: non-protein coding lnc-FAM167B-1:1
Source: RNAcentral